GUGGGGAAUCUUCCGCAAUGGACGAAAGUCUGACGGAGCAACGCCGCGUGAGUGAAGAAGGUUUUCGGAUCGUAAAGCUCUUUCGUUAGGGACGAACGUGCUCUUUGUGAAUAAUGAGGAGUAAUGACGGUACCUAAAUAAGAAGCCACGGCUAACUACGUGCCAGCAGCCGCGGUAAUACGUAGGUGGCAAGCGUUGUCCGGAAUUAUUGGGCGUAAAGCGCGCGCAGGCGGGAUAUCAAGUCUGUCUUAAAAGUGCGAGGCUCAACCUCGUGAGGGGACAGAAACUGGUAUUCUUGAGUGUCGGAGAGGAAAGUGGAAUUCCAAGUGUAGCGGUGAAAUGCGUAGAGAUUUGGAAGAACACCAGUGGCGAAGGCGACUUUCUGGACGAAAACUGACGCUGAGGCGCGAAAGCCAGGGGAGCGAACGGGAUUAGAAACCCCAGUAGUCC
RNAcentral lists this ribosomal RNA (450 nucleotides) under uncultured bacterium. RNAcentral's name for it is "partial 16S ribosomal RNA". It matches the Rfam family "Bacterial small subunit ribosomal RNA", at positions 354 to 796 of the family's 1533-position model. The record is from RNAcentral.